Molecule: small RNA, 260 nt
Filed under: Oryza sativa Japonica Group (Japanese rice)
Lineage: Eukaryota; Viridiplantae; Streptophyta; Magnoliopsida; Poales; Poaceae
Description: misc RNA OJ1119_A01.23-1
Source: RNAcentral
GGCAUGAUGUAAACAACAAAGGGUUCAGAGUCUAGAGCAACUGAUACUUGUCUUGUAAUCUUGUUUAAAGGUGCACGUUCUUUAUAGUCAUAUAGUUUGAUAGAGCUACUACAAUAUUUGGGUUGGGUGGGCCAAAAUGGCACGUAGGCAGUCUGGUGGUCGUAGGUUGGGCCGCUUGGUCGCUGUAUUAUUAGGCCCAAACAUAGGGAUUUCAACACAUUUUUUAAUGAAAACUUUCAUCUGAAAAAACCUUCGUUUGG